Molecule: unclassified non-coding RNA, 315 nt
Filed under: fungal sp.
Lineage: Eukaryota; Fungi
Description: partial internal transcribed spacer region
Rfam family: Eukaryotic small subunit ribosomal RNA (bases 1-46)
Source: RNAcentral
AAGUCGUAACAAGGUUUCCGUAGGUGAACCUGCGGAAGGAUCAUUACAAAUCCAACGUCUCUCCCGAGACACUGUCGAAACAUAGCCCAAGGAGGGCGAGCGAGGCCGCGCGCGAGCGAGCGAGUGAGCCGGUACGAGCGACCAGUCCCCCUCUCCCCUCUUUUGGGGGGCGGGAGGCAGUUGCCCGCACCGCAACCAAGCAAGCAAGCAAGCACCUCACUCUCUCUUUGACGGCGAACACUCACUAGAAACUGUUGAUCAUCUGUAUGCUUCUUAACAAAGAAACAACUUAUACCAAUGGAUCUCUAGGCUCUU